GAUGAACGCUGGCGGCGUGCCUAAUACAUGCAAGUCGAGCGAACAGACGAGGAGCUUGCUCCUCUGACGUUAGCGGCGGACGGGUGAGUAACACGUGGAUAACCUACCUAUAAGACUGGGAUAACUUCGGGAAACCGGAGCUAAUACCGGAUAAUAUAUUGAACCGCAUGGUUCAAUAGUGAAAGACGGUUUUGCUGUCACUUAUAGAUGGAUCCGCGCCGCAUUAGCUAGUUGGUAAGGUAACGGCUUACCAAGGCAACGAUGCGUAGCCGACCUGAGAGGGUGAUCGGCCACACUGGAACUGAGACACGGUCCAGACUCCUAUGGGAGGCAGCAGUAGGGAAUCUUCCGCAAUGGGUGAAAGCCUGACGGAGCAACGCCGCGUGAGUGAUGAAGGUCUUCGGAUCGUAAAACUCUGUUAUUAGGGAAGAACAAAUGUGUAAGUAACUAUGCACGUCUUGACGAUACCUAAUCAGAAAGCCACGGCUAACUACGUG
RNAcentral lists this ribosomal RNA (497 nucleotides) under uncultured bacterium. RNAcentral describes it as "partial 16S ribosomal RNA". It matches the Rfam family "Bacterial small subunit ribosomal RNA", at positions 28 to 507 of the family's 1533-position model. The record is from RNAcentral.